This 3779-nucleotide small RNA is filed under the name Pongo abelii (Sumatran orangutan). Its description in RNAcentral is "retained intron". The record is from RNAcentral. Lineage: Eukaryota; Metazoa; Chordata; Mammalia; Primates; Hominidae.
GUGCUGGGGACCCAAGCGGCACCGCGGGGAGGGGGCUCUACGCGCUCAACCCCGUCCCAGGCACUGUCCGCCGCCUCCACCCGCCGGCCUCCCGCAGCCUGGCCAGCGCCAUGAGGACCAAGCAGGUGAACUUGCUGAUCACCCUGGUCGCCGUCGCGUUGUUCAGCUUCUCUUGCUUCUGCAUCUACAGGAUAACUCAAACCAAGUAAUGAAGAUUAUUUACAUUCUGUUGUUAAAAUGAUUACAAAAAAAUUCAAAAGGCAAGUGAGGUCUGGAUCCUUAGAGGUCAUUUCAAUACCUGCCUUUUUAUACUCAAGCAUGUUAAAUGCCAAGCACUUAGCUGAGGCCUCACAAAAAUUAGCCAGGAUUGGGAGAGUUGGGGCAAUGUGUGCUCACAUAUUUCAUCAGAGGCCAAGCAUAAAGUCAGCUUGUGAAGGGAGUUAACAUUGGGUUUCUUCAAGAGGAACAUGAAGAGUUCCAGAGGCUUGUGGAGACUACUUUCAAAAUAAAAACAAAAAAAGCAACCUUUCCCUUCCAAGUAAACCAAGGGUUGGCGAAUCAAACAAGUAUUGGAUUUUUGCAUUUUGAUGCUGUAUGCCCAACCCAAGGCCAAGUAUUAUUUACAGCUAGAAGAUGAUAUCAUAGCUAAAGAGAUGUACUUUACAAAAAUAACAGAUUUUGUAGGUAAUAUCAGUUCAAAUAAUUGGUUUUUUAUUGAGUUUUCAAUGCUUGGAUUCAUAGGUAAGCAAUAGAUCUACUUUGUUGGAUCAAGUUUUUUAGCACACAAUAAUUUAAAACAUUUUAAACAGUUUAUCAGUUUGUUUAUUACUAAAUGAAAAAGAAUGGCAUGAUUUUUAUAAAGACUCUAUUAUCUUAACAGUAUAAUCAGAUACAAGUACCUAAAUUCCAGAUAAUGUAUUUUCUUAAACCAAACUUUUUUCUAGAGAGAUCAAAUUGACAUUUAGAACAUAUGUCAUAGAAACAUAAAAGAGUUACCAUUUAUUAAAUGCUUGCUGUGAGUCUGGCACACAUGUUAGCUGAGUAGCUAAGAUGUGCUUUUCUCUGCUUUACAAGAAUACUGAAACUCAGAUAAUUAAAAUUGUAGAGAAAGGGAUUUUAACUCAGUCACUGCAAUUUCCAGUAUGCUAAAGCUGACAGUUUUAAAAAAUAUAAAAACAUAAUAGAAAUUAUACCCACCACAGAAAAUUUCCAAAUACUGUACCCAUAGUGAGAUUUUUUUUUACUAUCCUUCCAUAGAUUUUCCUUUUAAAUCCUUCAAUUUUUCUUUCUUCAUUUCCAUGCUUUUUUCUUUCCUUUGAACCUCAAGUAUUACCAUACUGCUUAUUUUAUGGUGCAUGACAUUAUUGAUUCAUACAGGAGCUCUUCCUUAUUUAUUCUUUCCUUUUAUUCCCAAUCCCUACACCCUCUUCCUGCCACUCUUCAAUAUAUUGUUCACUCUAAUAUGUUCAAAAUACACUUAUAAAUAUACAAUAUCCAUGUAAAAUAUUUGGUGCUUUUCAUGUUUGUAUAUUCCUAUUCCUUACAUUUUUGUCCUCAAAACUUGAUUUCUAAAUUAUCAGCAUGUUGUUUUAUGUUCAUUUAGUUUAUUGGUUUUUUACUGUUACAUAAGUGCUGCAUAAUGAUGGUCACUGAAAUUUAUGCAUUCAGAAUUGUGCAAAGUGAGGGCUACCUGUUUUGCACAUAGAGAUCAUGCAUAUAAAACUGUAACCUGCUUUUAAUUUUUUUACGUCAACAAUCCCAUGAUCAGCUGUCUUAUAGUCACAUCCAAAUUCACUUCCCGCAUUCACUUUCUGUGCUUUCGCCUGUCAUCCAGUUCUUUCUUUUGAUUACCUACUUUUGUUAAAUGUCAUGUGGAUUUAUCAUCAGAAGGCAAGGCAAGGCAACCACACGUUUUGCUGUCCACAAGUGAACUAAAUACUGGAUGCACAGUGACCCAUCACCAAAAGACUGAAAGAAGUGAUGACUUAUCACUUAUCACUCACAUUUGGCUUAUCUAUUUCCCGAGUGGCAGACCUUAAUUGCUUCCAAUUUUCUGCUACCGUGAAAAAAUGAAGUGACAUAUAUGUCCCCUGGAGUGGACCGCUGAGGAUUCACAUAGCUCUAAGUACUGCCAAUUGCUUUACAGAUUGGCUAUAUGGUUUACGCUCUCAUAAGCAGUGCAUAAAAGUUCGUGCUUCCCCAUACGCUUGACAACACUUGGUUUUAUCUAUUAUUAUAUGUAUAUAUUUGCCAUUCUCAGUAUAAAGCAUUUCUGGGAUUGCUAGUGAGGUCCAUCUGUUUUUCAUAUACUCAUUCGAUGACUUCUGUUUUUCAUGUUUUCUGUAAAAUUUUAAGGGCCCAAAGGUUUUUCCUCAGCCUUGGUUAAAAUAAGAAAGAAAACUAUUGUUAACAGUAAUACCCAAAGUAAAGCAUGGAGACAAAAUAAUCUUGCUGAUGGAUUAGUCUGAGAAUUUAAAAUUCUCAAAAAAAUUUAUCUUUCUCAGCAAAGUCAAGUAAGAGACACAUAGAGAAUACUUACAUUCUGAUCACAAGAGCACAUUGAACAAGGAGCACUAUUUAUGGGAUGCCAAAUCUUAUUCAAGCUUAAACUUACCAAAGUUUUUCUUUUAGUUAUCAUAAUAGCAAUUCGGUUAUUCAUUAUUUGCUAAAAAUAUGAGCUUGCCAACUAGAAUUUUACAGCAUGGUGACAGCAGGUGAGGAAUUGAAUCAGCUAUUUUAUACAUCAUUAAAUCACUUGCUUUGGUUACUACAUAAAUAGGUGCAAAAAAUUAAAAUACAAUUAUACAUUUUAUUAAGUGACCCAUAUAAACUUAAGUUCUAGUGAAGAAUGAAGCAUGCUUACAUCCUACUUUCAUAUUUAUCAAAUCAUUAGAUGUAUUUUACAUUAUUUACUUUGAAGUGAAUGUGUACCUGAAUCUUAUCCCUUCAACUUCAUUUUAGAAUUAAAGAUGCAGUAUAUUAGAAAAAAAUUAUUAGACCUAAUGGAAUAAUAUUUGAAAAUAUAGUAAAUCUUUAAGAAUAACAAAUAUAAAAGAAAAAUAACAUCCUGUUAAAAUAAUGCUCAAAUAUUGAAAUAAGAGAGUACUUUAAUAAAAUUAAGUACUAAAAACGAAAAAUGUAGUAGAUUGAUAAAGUGCUACAAAAAUCAGGUAAAAAAUACAGUUUGUACAAAAUUAAGUAAAAGAUUACAGUGACUAUAUAUUUCAUUCUAUUCACUUAUCUUUCACUUGAUUUAGACAAUCAUUCCUCAUUAGUUAUCACAAUUGAUUUCCUGAGAGUAUUGACUAUUCUACACCUGCUUAUAUUCUCCUUCAGAUGUGGUAAUCCUUAAUACUUAAGCAGAUAUAGUGUUUAAUUUUAUCAUUGUCCAACUUCAGCAGUGCUUUAAUCUUUAUUUCUAAGGAAUGGGACAUAUUUAAAUUUUAAUAACUUUUGCUUUUUCCCAUGUUAAAGGAAUGAACAAGUACAUAUGAAUUAUUUGCAUCUAAUUAUAUUUUUUUUCCAUAGGAAAGCUGUUUAGAUCUGAGGACUUAACUCAGUUUGUACGUUUUUUUUUAAUGUUCUACAAAGAGAAACCCGUAGACUGGCUCUUGAAUGACAUUUUUCAGGUAAAGGUGUGUGACACAGGAGAAGAUCUUGGAGACUGUAUGAAACGAAAGAAGCAAAUACGUAUUCGGUAUAAACCUUCUCUUUUCCGGCAUGUGGGUAUACAUUCAUCAUUCCCUGGAAAAGAACAAUAUGAAAAAAAAGUAUGAAGA